Otolemur garnettii (small-eared galago) is the source of this 107-nucleotide small nuclear RNA. The record is from Ensembl. Lineage: Eukaryota; Metazoa; Chordata; Mammalia; Primates; Galagidae.
GUGCUUGCUUUGACAGAACAUAUACUAAAAUUGGAACAGUACAGAGAAGAUUAACCUGGUCCCUGUGCAAAGAUGACAUGCAAAUUCGUGAAGUGUUCCAUAUUUUU